UUUUAUUGAAGCUGAAACUUGUUGGUAUUUACAUGACGAUACAAGGGGUUUAUAUAGAAAACAAAUAGACACAACACAUAAUGAGUUGUGUCUCUUCGUACUUGUGUCCCUUGACAAGUAACCACUUAAUAUAUGAAACUUUAAUAUAGACAGAACUCAAUUAUCGACCAACAGUCCCCCUUAAUUGAGUUUCUGUCUUCUUCCAAACUUCUCUUCAACCCUUGACCUUGUUUACUUCUCCCUUGCAAGUAAAACACUUGUGUCCGACUUUCUCCAUCUCAAUGGAAAAAUCUUCUGCUUCCUCUUAAUAUCAAGUCUCCUUCUUCCUUGAGGAUCGUUGAUGAGACAUCUAUUGUCUUCAAAUAAGAGCCCUUAGCCAUUGGAAAUCAUUUGAGAAACACUCAACCAAUUUCUCGCUACACCGGAACUAGAAAACACCUCUUUGAUGAUCUUCUCUCCUUGGCUUGUUAUCACUUGGAUAUUUCCUUUCGGUGUCCUCUUGAUCACCAAAUCUGUGCGUGAACUCCUCCACGUCUUCUUCGGUGUCUUUUUUUUUUUUUUUUUUUUUAUCACCAUAACGUUUCCAUGACGUCUUGUGCGUGAAUCUUCUUCACGUCGUCUUCGGUUUACUCUUCAACCGACUUAUGCUCCAUUUUUCUCCGAGGUAAGCAUCAUCUUGUGCUCCAUUUUUCUCCGAGGUAAGCAUCCUCUUAUGGUGUCCUCUUUUGAUCACCUCCACGUCUUUUUGACGUCUUGUGCGUGAAAAUCUCUUCACGUCUUCGUCGGCUAUCUUUGCAACCGAACUGAACUCUGCUCCCUCUCUCUUAGGUAAGCAGCUUCACACUCGUAGGCAAGCUAACAUCUCUGUGUUGCUUUCUCCAACAAUCACCUCAAUGUGAUCGUCACACGUACAAAAGUCACACUAUUUCUUGGCCUUCUUUUGACUUUUGUCGCCCCGUUUGUUUCUUCCUUUUGAAGCAAACUUUUCUCCACGUUUUCGUGUUGUAGUCAUCUUCACAACUCAACACAACGUUUUGAUAAUAAGCCUUGCUCAGUUUGUUACAACAGCGGCUUUCCCGUCUUGCGCUUCACCAAGACGUUGUUGAACAAAUUUUCAGAACUCUCCUUCCACAACUCCAAAUCCACAUUCGUUUUCUCCAUUGCCUCUAGAGAAGAUUUCCUAUCUUCUUCAUCGCUUUUGGAGCCUUCCUCUUGAAGGUACUUCAUGUGAAUGUGUUUGUGAAAACUGAUGGUACUUUCUCUUGUUACCACCUCUUAUUUCUUCUUCUUCCCUCUUCUUCUUCCUCUUCAUCUCACCAUAGAUUUGUUGUCUCCAUCUCUCUUUUUCUUUUCGCAGCAGAAGACAUCUUAUUUUUGUAGAGACAACCAAGGACAACCAUCGGCUCUGAUACCAUGUUGGAUUAUUGAGAGAGAGAAGAAAAACAGAGUAAGAGAGACAUAUCUCUUCUCUUGUGAAGAAGACAAGAACAAAACUUUGUUUUAUUGAAACUGAAACUUGUUGGUAUUUACAUGACGAUACAAGGGGUUUAUAUAGAAAACAAAUAGACACAACACACAAUGAGUUGUGUCUCUUCGUACUUGUGUCCCUUGACAAGUAACCACUUAAUACAUGAAACUUUAAUAUAGACAGAACUCAAUUAUCGACCAACAAGCGUGAACUGUGUGAGAUGGGUGUUCAAUAUAUUCUAAGCACUCAUCAACACAUUUCUUGUGGACAUAAAAGUCACAUCUUUUGCAGUAAUAGCCACCAGUGGUAAAUCCAGAGCGUCCACAGCAAUCACCUCUCUUUAGAUCAUUCCAAGGCAUCAUAAGAUGCUUGUGGAUCAACGGUAGUGACACUCCCUCUAACUCCAUGGUCGUAUACUACAAGAUUUGAUAAGAAGAAGAAGUGAAAAAAAGAAGAAGAAAGAAGAAGAGAAAAUGGAAUCUGAGAUCUUUUUUUUUUGCUAAGAAAUCUGAGAUCUCAAAAGUCAAAACUAUGCUCAAUCUGAGAAAGUCCAUGGUCGUUC
This 2030-nucleotide long non-coding RNA is filed under the name Arabidopsis thaliana (thale cress). RNAcentral describes it as "long non-coding RNA (ATHA_LNC000243)". Lineage: Eukaryota; Viridiplantae; Streptophyta; Magnoliopsida; Brassicales; Brassicaceae. The record is from RNAcentral.